CACAUUGCGGAUAUGCUGCUUCUAAGAUACGGCAAAUGUUUCUGAAGAAAUACACAUGAAUAUUAGUUCUUACUACAAAGAUGCUCUGGAGUGUCAGCAUGCUCCUGUAGUUAAGAAUGAAAGGAAGGGUCCAUGGAUAUAUUACAUCUCUGUGCCGUCCCUCUAUAAUAAGAAACCUUCUCAGAGUGUGAAGAGUUGCUCCCUCUCCUUUUGUGUUUGCUCAGCUAGGUAGUGGCUUUUAGCAUGUAUAUCAAGCUAAGCAAACAAAAGCACACAGUAAAUAUCCACGUAUAAUAUAGUUUCUUCCUGCAUUUUCUGGUUUGAACAUUAACUGUACACAGCCAGGAAGGAAUAUGAAUAUACAGACAGGAAAAACUACCACUGAAUUAUUAUGCAAGUUACUUAGCACCUAGAAUCAUUGCAUUUUUCAAAGGGACUUUUAAAAUACUGCAUCAAUACAAGUGACAGAAUACUCCCAGGAUGUGAGAGGGGUUUCAUAUGUAUAAUUUGGCAAUGGCGUAUAAUGGGUAUAAUAUUUGUAACAGCUGUUAGGUGCUCUGAAGCUACACUACAUUUAUGGAAUUUUCCAUUGAGCUCUAAAUAUUCAGGUCACAUACACAGUUAAAUUUCCUGCAGUGGCAGUACAGAUAAAAGCACUCCAACCGUAUGCCAUAAUUGUGCUCUAUUUAGAGAGUGCAGCAACUUAGGCAUUUUCACAGCAGUCGUCUUAGAUACCAUAUACAUUCCGCUUUAUAAAUGCCAAUUCAUUAGCGCAUGUAACACAUAGCAUGCUGCUCUUAAAAAAAAAAAAAAGGAGACUGCUAUGUUUCAGUGAGGAAUAAAUAUACAGAAAAAAGCCCUCUUACUUAGAAG
This is a long non-coding RNA of Calidris pygmaea (Spoon-billed sandpiper), 873 nucleotides long. The record is from Ensembl. Lineage: Eukaryota; Metazoa; Chordata; Aves; Charadriiformes; Scolopacidae.